UUCAGCGCAUCUGGGGUGGUGGAGCCACAGGGUUUGUGUGCCUCAGGGACUGCCUGGUGAUGCUGAUACGGCAGUUGGGGACCACAUCUUGAGAAUCACUGGGUUAGGCCCUGUUCAGACCUUUGUGAGUCACUUACCUAUAUCACUUGCCUGGCCCCUAUUUAAAUUUGUAAAUCCAGCUUUAAAUCUUCCUUGGUAUCAUUAUUCUAAUGAACUAGUGUUUCUAGUUUUGAAAAGCACAUCUUUCAUAACUAAGGGGAACCAUGAAAUAUUUGUUCCUGUUUGAGCCUAUGGGAUAAAAGUAGCCUUUUUUAAAAAAAAUCUUUUUUUUGGAAUGCAUUUUUAUUGAGAAAAAUGAGAAAGUUACUAAGAACAAAACUGUUCUGUCGAAUUUAUUUUAUAUAUCCUGUGCUAUGGUCUGAAUAUUUGUCCUCCAAGUGUAUAUACCGACAGACUAAUCCCCAAAGUGCUGGUGUUAAUAGGUGGAGACUUUGUGAUGUGUUUCUAUUAUGAGGGCAAAGCCUUGGGACUGAUCUCAGUGUUUUUAUGAAACUAGCCCAGGGAAGCUAGUUUACCUUUUCACCAUGUGAGGACAGAGCUAGAAGUUGGCAUCUGAGGAAUGAACCCUCCCAACGCUGAAUCAGCGAGCACUUUGAUCUUGGACUUCCAGCCUCCAGAACUCAUUCAGGUAACACAAGAGCCAGUCAGAGACUCAAAGCACAGGAAACUGCCAAAAAGAUGUUGCUUUUGCUUGAGGCUCCAAAGGACACAGAUGCUCCAACAGAAGCAGUAGGCAGUCUACACGGCUUCCUGGUGUUUUCUUAAGUGAGCCAUACUGUCGCUGGUUUCUAAAUUGCAAAACAACAUAAAUUCAACAAUAAUAACACAACCAGUUAGAUUGUGACAAGCUUUUCCUUUCUCUAAGGGAAGAAAAAAGAAAAAGAAAACACACAAUGGAGGGUUAAAUAAAUAAUAAGUUAAAAAAGAGAAAAAUGUAAAGAAAAAGCCAGUUAAAACAGGCUUGUGUUUACUUCGGGCAACUCUGUGCAAACAGGAAACGUGAUUUUCAGCAGGAUGACAGGUCCCGGCAUGCCUCCUUCCCAAAUAAUACUGACAAGAAAGAAGAGACGUAAGACUGACUCAGCGGCGCCUGCUCAGAGGCACACUAAAAAUCCGUUUCAUUAGAGCACAGGGCUUCCUGCUCAGCACAAAUAUCCAUGUAUUUGUUCAAAAAGCCAUAAUAAUGUUAAUACAGACAACAGUUUAAAAACAAUGUGAAACAGGCUCACUUUCGAUUGAUAAAAAACUCCAAGUGUCAGUAACAUAUAAUUCUAAAUCAUUACGUGUUCAAUAACAUUUUCAAAUACACAAAAAAGAAGUUGAUAGAUACACUGUUAUAUUAGACAAUUAGCACAUCUUCCUGAAUAACUGGCAGAUUGAUUAGAAAAGA
This is a non-coding RNA of Oryctolagus cuniculus (rabbit), 1450 nucleotides long. Lineage: Eukaryota; Metazoa; Chordata; Mammalia; Lagomorpha; Leporidae. The record is from RefSeq and is a predicted model, not a curated record.